GACGAACGCUGGCGGCGUGCUUAACACAUGCAAGUCGAACGGAAAGGCCCUGCUUUUGUGGGGUGCUCGAGUGGCGAACGGGUGAGUAACACGUGAGUAACCUGCCCUUGACUUUGGGAUAACUUCAGGAAACUGGGGCUAAUACCGGAUAGGAGCUCCUGCUGCAUGGUGGGGGUUGGAAAGUUUCGGCGGUUGGGGAUGGACUCGCGGCUUAUUAGCUUGUUGGUGGGGUGGUGGCUUACCAAGGCUUUGACGGGUAGCCGGCCUGGGAGGGUGACCGGCAACAGUGGGACUGAGAUACGGCCCAGACCCAGACGGGAGGCAGCAGUGGCAGAUAUUGCAAAAGGGGCGGAAGCCUGAUGCAGCAACGCCGCGUGCGGGAUGGCGGCGUUCGGGUUGGAAACCGCUUUCGCCUGUGACGAAGCGUGAGUGACGGUAAUGGGUAAAGAAGCACCGGCUAACUACGUG
This 468-nucleotide ribosomal RNA is filed under the name uncultured bacterium. Its description in RNAcentral is "partial 16S ribosomal RNA". It matches the Rfam family "Bacterial small subunit ribosomal RNA", at positions 28 to 507 of the family's 1533-position model. The record is from RNAcentral.